ACCAUACAUUACAAAUGUAAGUUUAUACACUAUCCUAACUUACAUAAAUAAUUUGUUUUUAGUAUAAAAUGGAUUACUAUUCGACAUGGCGACUGGCUUGUUGCCUUUUAUUUGUGAGCAUGGUAACGGCACGAGUUUUGCCAAACACUGGACAUCUGAGAUCGAACAUCAAUUUAAACAAAUUCCCAAACAGCUAUUCCCCGUUGGCGCUAAAGACCGGCAGAAUUCGCGCCACAUCCUUUGAAAAUAUGUCCAUGAGACGAUCUGCGUUGAAACUUCAACAUUUAAAGAAAUUAUUUGAUAAAGACGGAAUAAUCUACUUACCCAGCCGUAAACCAUCACCAAAGUUUGUUGGAUCAAAAUAUUUGAAAAUGCUUCUCAAAAAAUUACUUGCUUUCAAAGAAAAGGAUCUUUCCUAUAAGCCUGGGGACAUACGAGAAGAUAAGGAUGUAUUUAGAGUGUUAUUGCUAAAAGAGUUGCGGAGAUACGCAAAACAAGAACCGAAAACUGAAUUUCAAUUUGCUGACCUGGUUGCAUGAUUUUCUUUUUUUACCAGACGUCCAGACUGCGCCAGAAAGAAUGGUUUUAGAGUUUAUGUAGAUAAAUUGGAAUAAAAUAAUAAAAAAAAACAUAUUGUUUUAUAUAAUUUCAUUUCCUUUAAUAUUAAUUAAAAGCUGAUACCCGCGAUUUGUCCGCGUAAAAUUAGUGUCCACAAAUUCUCAAAUCUAGUCUCUCGUUUUUGCAUGAAAGAGUUCAUACCAUCCUUACAACCAAUUUUUCGCAAAUUUUGCAGAAUUCAUGGUUUCAUUCGGGACUAUCUUAUGAGUUAAUCUAGGACAUGAUUUUCAUCCAAUUUCCAGCUAAAUCCUCUUAGUAGUCGUGACGUUAAAGAGUAACAAACUUUCCCGUUUAUAAUAUUAGUAGGAUUGUUUGUAAGUUAACAAUUUUGUUUACGAUUUGCGUGCAAAUUCAAAAAGAACAAGAGAAUUGAUUUCGUGUUUAUGAUCUUGCUUCUCGAGUCCAGUCCAAAAUGCGUUGACAGCAAACGAGGCGUUGCGUUUUGUAGGAAACAUUUUGGAGAAAUCAGUUAAGCGCUAAAGCCAGGCCGCUCAGAGAUUGCGUUUCUAACACCUGUCAAUGUCACCUUUUUAUAUUUGUUAAUAAUUUUUGCCCAAAAUAAAUACCUUUAUAAAUAUUUUUUUAUGUUAUUACUCGAUUACCUUAAGUUAAUAAAAUAUCUAAUUGAUAUUGGCAGGUGUCAGAAACGCGGCUUGACUUUAGGCGUACAGAAGUGAGGGUGGGACAGUCAAAUAAAUAAAAGCCAUGUAUAUUGAACAUAUCUUUAUUUAAUUUCUGCCUCGAGGCAAUAUUUACACAUCGCAUCAGCCACGACAGGCGAAUAAUACAACUUAACACUAUAUUAUCACACUACCCGCAAAAUACACAACUACCCUCAUCUAAAAAAAAAAAGCUUCCUUUACAUAGCGUUCUCUGUCCCACGCAAAGUAAAUUAUAUUGU
Long non-coding RNA from Bicyclus anynana (squinting bush brown), 1519 nucleotides. RefSeq lists it as uncharacterized. The record is from RefSeq and is a predicted model, not a curated record. The transcript has 2 exons. Lineage: Eukaryota; Metazoa; Arthropoda; Insecta; Lepidoptera; Nymphalidae.